UGUUAUAUACCAUAAACUUGAGAAUCAGUUAAAAGCUAUUAAUACAUACUGCACUAAGCACUACAAAAAGGGUCAUAUGCAAACUGAUGCCAAUUUAUUGCUCAAGACUUUAAUAGAGAUAAAAUCACAGGUGAAGCAGUAAUUUGACAUGAAUUAGAUGGUGUAGCAGAUGUUAUAUACUAACUAUUUUGUAACCACCUAACCUUCAAGAAUAUACAAAGGAGGCACAGAACACGCAAGGAAACAAUUGGGUUAACACUGGCAUAAAAGGGAUGUAAAACACAUACCAGGUGAUCCAUUUUAGGACUAAAAGAACCCUUUUGUCCAUAAGGCAAUUCCCCCACAAAAA
RNAcentral lists this unclassified non-coding RNA (349 nucleotides) under Hevea brasiliensis (rubber tree). The record is from RNAcentral. Lineage: Eukaryota; Viridiplantae; Streptophyta; Magnoliopsida; Malpighiales; Euphorbiaceae.